Long non-coding RNA from Chenopodium quinoa (quinoa), 401 nucleotides. RefSeq lists it as uncharacterized. The transcript is spliced from 3 exons. NCBI's taxonomy places the organism in Eukaryota, Viridiplantae, Streptophyta, Magnoliopsida, Caryophyllales, Amaranthaceae. The record is from RefSeq and is a predicted model, not a curated record.
AUUCCUUCUCCUCCUUUAUUUCCCCCUCAUAUCCUCCUUUCUUUCAUUUCCUUUUGGUCGGAGCCACCACGACACCACCUUGCCUCCACCGUGCCACCACCUCCUUUCCCUCUUGUUUCUACCGAGGAAUUUCGAGUUCAAAAUUAGGAGUUCCGUACUUGUGUGCAAGGAUCAAGAUAGGUGAUGGCGAUCGGACAACGUGAACUAUGUGUUGCAUUGGGAACGAUGGGCGGUGAUCACCUAGUUUAACUUAAUAAACAUAGUAUUAGUAGUGUAGUUACUUUGAAAAUGUAUCAAACUAUUAUUACUACUAUUAUUAUCAUUAAUGAAAGUUAAGUACUAUUUUCCGCUGCAAAACUCUGUUAAGCCUUACGUAAUCACGUGGCGGUAAUACUCCCAUG